RNAcentral lists this ribosomal RNA (465 nucleotides) under uncultured Klebsiella sp. Its description in RNAcentral is "bacterial SSU rRNA". It matches the Rfam family "Bacterial small subunit ribosomal RNA", at positions 338 to 795 of the family's 1533-position model. Lineage: Bacteria; Pseudomonadati; Pseudomonadota; Gammaproteobacteria; Enterobacterales; Enterobacteriaceae. The record is from RNAcentral.
CCUACGGGAGGCUGCAGUGGGGAAUAUUGCACAAUGGGCGCAAGCCUGAUGCAGCCAUGCCGCGUGUGUGAAGAAGGCCUUCGGGUUGUAAAGCACUUUCAGCGGGGAGGAAGGCGUUAAGGUUAAUAACCUUGUCGAUUGACGUUACCCGCAGAAGAGGCACCGGCUAACUCCGUGCCAGCAGCCGCGGUAAUACGGAGGGUGCAAGCGUUAAUCGGAAUUACUGGGCGUAAAGCGCACGCAGGCGGUCUGUCAAGUCGGAUGUGAAAUCCCCGGGCUCAACCUGGGAACUGCAUUCGAAACUGGCAGGCUAGAGUCUUGUAGAGGGGGGUAGAAUUCCAGGUGUAGCGGUGAUAUGCGUAGAGAUCUGGAGGAAUACCGGUGGCGAAGGCGGCCCCCUGGACAAAGACUGACACUCAGGUGCGAAAGCGUGGGGAGCAAACAGGAUUAGAUACCCUUGUAGUC